UGACUAGAUCUCAUGUGUAACAUUAUGUAUAAGAACUAGAACCGCAACCGGAUCUUAAAACCUUAAGAAGUGUUUCCUUGUUAGAAGAUACAAACCCAAAGACACAUACUGAAUUCGGCAACACCAUCAAAGCUUUGAGAAGCAAGCAGAAGCUUGGAUAGUGUUUUU
This 168-nucleotide small RNA is filed under the name Arabidopsis thaliana (thale cress). RNAcentral's name for it is "ATSL198990". The record is from RNAcentral. Lineage: Eukaryota; Viridiplantae; Streptophyta; Magnoliopsida; Brassicales; Brassicaceae.